This 253-nucleotide ribosomal RNA is filed under the name uncultured bacterium. RNAcentral describes it as "partial 16S ribosomal RNA". It matches the Rfam family "Bacterial small subunit ribosomal RNA", at positions 524 to 776 of the family's 1533-position model. The record is from RNAcentral.
UACGAGUACCCCAAGCGUUAUCCGGAAUCAUUGGGCGUAAAGGGUGUGUAGGCGGUAUGGUUAGUCUUCUGUCAAAAUCUCGGGCUUAACCCGAGACCUGCAGAGGAAACGGCCAAACUAGAGGGUGCGAGAGGUGAAUGGAACUCAUGGAGUAGGGGUGAAAUCCGUUGAUAUCAUGGGGAACACCGAAAGCGAAGGCAAUUCACUGGCGCAUUUCUGACGCUGAAACAAGAAAGCGUGGGUAGCGAACGGG